This 499-nucleotide ribosomal RNA is filed under the name uncultured bacterium. RNAcentral's name for it is "bacterial LSU rRNA". It matches the Rfam family "Bacterial large subunit ribosomal RNA", at positions 1471 to 1958 of the family's 2925-position model. The record is from RNAcentral.
GACGGAGAAGGUUAGGUCAGCCGGGUGUUGGACGUCCCGGUUUAAGCGUGUAGGCGUGCCCCUUAGGCAAAUCCGGGGGGGCUGAGCUGAGGCGUGAUGACGAGGAACCACGGUUCCGAAGUGAUUGAUACCAAGCUUCCAGGAAAAGCCACUAAGCUUCAGCUUGUAUGAGACCGUACCGCAAACCGACACAGGUGGGCAGGAUGAAAAUUCUAAGGCGCUUGAGAGAACUCAGGAGAAGGAACUCGGCAAAUUGACACCGUAACUUCGGGAGAAGGUGUGCCCCGGUAGCGUGUAGCGACUUGCUCGCGAAGCGCGAUGGGGUUGCAGUGAAAUGGUGGCUGCGACUGUUUAAUAAAAACACAGCACUCUGCAAACACGAAAGUGGACGUAUAGGGUGUGACGCCUGCCCGGUGCCGGAAGGUUAAGUGAGUGGGGUGCAAGCCCUUGAUCGAACGCCCCGGUAAACGGCGGCCGUAACGAUAACGGUCCUAAGGUA